Molecule: transfer RNA, 75 nt
Filed under: Candidatus Muproteobacteria bacterium RBG_16_65_34
Lineage: Bacteria; Pseudomonadati; Pseudomonadota; Candidatus Muproteobacteria
Description: tRNA-Val
Rfam family: tRNA
About the family: Transfer RNA (tRNA) molecules are approximately 80 nucleotides in length. Their secondary structure includes four short double-helical elements and three loops (D, anti-codon, and T loops). Further hydrogen bonds mediate the characteristic L-shaped molecular structure. tRNAs have two regions of fundamental functional importance: the anti-codon, which is responsible for specific mRNA codon recognition, and the 3' end, to which the tRNAs corresponding amino acid is attached (by aminoacyl-tRNA synthetases). tRNAs cope with the degeneracy of the genetic code in two manners: having more than one tRNA (with a specific anti-codon) for a particular amino acid; and 'wobble' base-pairing, i.e. permitting non-standard base-pairing at the 3rd anti-codon position.
Source: RNAcentral
GGGCGAUUAGCUCAGUGGUAGAGCACUGCCUUCACACGGCAGGGGUCGCAGGUUCAAGCCCUGCAUCGCCCACCA